AUUAAUUCAUUAAAGAAAGAUGAGUACGUUCUGGGUGACACGCAGAGAGCUUCUGGUUGGUGAGAAGAAGUUGCAGUCGGAGUUGAAGAUGGUCUUUUGAUUUAAAAAGUAUCGGUGAGCUUGUGGUUAGCCGAUAGUGGGGGCGCCCAUUAUAGCGCACGGGUUGUUUGACUCGUUGAGGUUAGUAUAUCGUGAGAUACUAACAAACUAAGGUGGUAACACGAAGUGGCUUUCGUCCUUUAA
This 243-nucleotide non-coding RNA is filed under the name Pediococcus claussenii. Its description in RNAcentral is "T-box sequence". It matches the Rfam family "T-box leader". From Rfam's summary of the family: Uncharged tRNA acts as the effector for transcription antitermination of genes in the T-box leader family. T-boxes are found upstream of many aminoacyl-tRNA synthetase genes and some amino acid biosynthetic genes usually in Gram-positive bacteria. The record is from RNAcentral. Lineage: Bacteria; Bacillati; Bacillota; Bacilli; Lactobacillales; Lactobacillaceae.